This 995-nucleotide ribosomal RNA is filed under the name uncultured bacterium. RNAcentral describes it as "bacterial SSU rRNA". It matches the Rfam family "Bacterial small subunit ribosomal RNA", at positions 355 to 1375 of the family's 1533-position model. The record is from RNAcentral.
UGGGGAAUAUUGCACAAUGGGGGAAACCCUGAUGCAGCGACGCCGCGUGGAGGAAGAAGGUCUUCGGAUUGUAAACUCCUGUUGUUGAGGAAGAUAAUGACGGUACUCAACAAGGAAGUGACGGCUAACUACGUGCCAGCAGCCGCGGUAAAACGUAGGUCACAAGCGUUGUCCGGAAUUACUGGGUGUAAAGGGAGCGCAGGCGGGAAGACAAGUUGGAAGUGAAAUCCAUGGGCUCAACCCAUGAACUGCUUUCAAAACUGUUUUUCUUGAGUAGUGCAGAGGUAGGCGGAAUUCCCGGUGUAGCGGUGGAAUGCGUAGAUAUCGGGAGGAACACCAGUGGCGAAGGCGGCCUACUGGGCACCAACUGACGCUGAGGCUCGAAAGUGUGGGUAGCAAACAGGAUUAGAUACCCUGGUAGUCCACACCGUAAACGAUGAUUACUAGGUGUUGGAGGAUUGACCCCUUCAGUGCCGCAGUUAACACAAUAAGUAAUCCACCUGGGGAGUACGACCGCAAGGUUGAAACUCAAAGGAAUUGACGGGGGCCCGCACAAGCAGUGGAGUAUGUGGUUUAAUUCGACGCAACGCGAAGAACCUUACCAAGUCUUGACAUCCUGCGACGGUGCUAGAAAUAGUAUUUUCCUUCGGGACGCAGAGACAGGUGGUGCAUGGUUGUCGUCAGCUCGUGUCGUGAGAUGUUGGGUUAAGUCCCGCAACGAGCGCAACCCUUAUGGUCAGUUACUACGCAAGAGGACUCUGGCCAGACUGCCGUUGACAAAACGGAGGAAGGUGGGGAUGACGUCAAAUCAUCAUGCCCUUUAUGACUUGGGCUACACACGUACUACAAUGGCGUUAAACAAAGAGAAGCAAGACCGCGAGGUGGAACAAAACUCAGAAACAACGUCCCAGUUCGGACUGCAGGCUGCAACUCGCCUGCACGAAGUCGGAAUUGCUAGUAAUCGUGGAUCAGCAUGCCACGGUGAAUACGUUCCC